UGUAUAUAGAGCAUAAUAUAUUUGUGUAUAUUCUUUAUCACCGCGGAAACGUGAGCUACCAUGGCCUUAUGACUCUCAAGUGGUGCAGCGGUCAAAGGCACAGCACAUCAGUACUAGAGGUGUCACUACAGACUCCCUGGUUCAAAUCCAGGCUGCGUUUCCAUCAAAAAACAUUAUUUGCCAAUAUCAUAACUGAAGCUGGACAUCUUUGGAGCAUAAGAAUGAGGACAGCUUUUGUAUGCUAACGUACACUCCUUAACAGUUGUACUGGAUGAAAACACAGCAAGAAAACGCAUGCCAAUAUGCAUAGUAUCAUGGCUGGUCACCUGUCAAGUCACAUGUCAGGUCAGUCAGUCACCUAUUGCUGCAGAUGUGCUCAAUAAUGCUUGAGUAUGUGAUACUCCUCAAAGCAUGGUGAAAUACAUAGAGGUGUAUCACAAGCUAGACACAUGUAUUUUGUCAUCUUCCUCUGCUUACUUCUCCUGGCGCCAGACAGGCAGACUUUGCAAUGCCUCCGUGUGCGACUACCUUGAGAAGCAGUUUGAGGGACUU
Long non-coding RNA from Oncorhynchus nerka (sockeye salmon), 552 nucleotides. RefSeq lists it as uncharacterized. Lineage: Eukaryota; Metazoa; Chordata; Actinopteri; Salmoniformes; Salmonidae. The record is from RefSeq and is a predicted model, not a curated record. The transcript has 4 exons.